UUACACCAGAACCAUUGAUAUUCAAAUUAUGGAUUUGAAAUAUUAUUCCCCCUUCAGCUUUAGACUACACUGUCGAGUUGUCAUCUGGCUACGGAAGGAGGGAGAAUGUAGAAGAAUUACAGAUGCUGUAGAAUUACAAGGAACCUCUCUUCCAAAGGGGACUGGAGUGACUUUGGAUCCUUCAGAUCUCAACCGUUAAGAAGCUGCCUCAUGCUGAGUCAAGCCAUUAGACCAUCUAGUUCAGGAACACCUACAGUGACUGACAGGGUAAGUGCCAACUCCCUGGGGCCCUGGGUGCCCGAGCACCCACAAAAUUCCCAGUGAAAGGGCCAGG
This 334-nucleotide long non-coding RNA is filed under the name Podarcis muralis (Common wall lizard). Its description in RNAcentral is "lncRNA (ENSPMRG00000010185.1)". The record is from RNAcentral. Lineage: Eukaryota; Metazoa; Chordata; Lepidosauria; Squamata; Lacertidae.